This 484-nucleotide ribosomal RNA is filed under the name uncultured bacterium. Its description in RNAcentral is "partial 16S ribosomal RNA". It matches the Rfam family "Bacterial small subunit ribosomal RNA", at positions 30 to 507 of the family's 1533-position model. The record is from RNAcentral.
AUUGAACGCUGGCGGAAUGCUUUACACAUGCAAGUCGAGCGGCAGCACGGGGGCAACCCUGGUGGCGAGCGGCGAACGGGUGAGUAAUACAUCGGAACAUGCCCAGUCGUGGGGGAUAACACUUCGAAAGAAGUGCUAAUACCGCAUACGUCCUGAGGGAGAAAGCGGGGGAUCGCAAGACCUCGCGCGAUUGGAGUGGCCGAUGUCAGAUUAGCUAGUUGGUGGGGUAAAGGCCUACCAAGGCAACGAUCUGUAGCUGGUCUGAGAGGAUGAUCAGCCACACUGGGACUGAGACACGGCCCAGACUCCUACGGGAGGCAGCAGUGGGGAAUUUUGGACAAUGGGGGCAACCCUGAUCCAGCCAUUCCGCGUGAGUGAAGAAGGCCUUCGGGUUGUAAUGCUCUUUCGGCAGGAACGAAACGGUGAGCUCUAACAUAGCUCGCUAAUGACGGUACCUGAAGAAGAAGCACCGGCUAACUACGUG